This 85-nucleotide transfer RNA is filed under the name Felis catus (domestic cat). It matches the Rfam family "tRNA". Rfam says of the family: Transfer RNA (tRNA) molecules are approximately 80 nucleotides in length. Their secondary structure includes four short double-helical elements and three loops (D, anti-codon, and T loops). The record is from Rfam by way of RNAcentral. Lineage: Eukaryota; Metazoa; Chordata; Mammalia; Carnivora; Felidae.
GCCUGGGUGGCUCAGUCGGUUAAGCGUCUGACUUCAGCUCAGGUCACGAUCUCACUGGUUGUGAGUUCGAGCCCCGCAUCGGGCU